GCAGAGAAGGUUCAGGGGAGAGCUCUGGACUGGGACUCCGGAGACCUGGGUUCUCUUCCCAACUCUGCC
Molecule: transfer RNA, 69 nt
Filed under: Chelonia mydas (Green sea turtle)
Lineage: Eukaryota; Metazoa; Chordata; Testudines; Cheloniidae
Rfam family: tRNA
About the family: Transfer RNA (tRNA) molecules are approximately 80 nucleotides in length. Their secondary structure includes four short double-helical elements and three loops (D, anti-codon, and T loops).
Source: Rfam by way of RNAcentral